GACGAACGCUGGCGGCGUGCUUAACACAUGCAAGUCGAGCGGUAAGGCCCUUUCGGGGGUACACGAGCGGCGAACGGGUGAGUAACACGUGGGUGACCUGCCCUCAGCUCUGGGAUAAGCCUGGGAAACCGGGUCUAAUACCGGAUAUGACUCCAUGACGCAUGUUGUGGGGUGGAAAGCCUUGUGCGGCUGAGGAUGGGCCCGCGGCCUAUCAGCUUGUUGGUGGGGUGAGGCCUACCAAGGCGACGACGGGUAGCCGGCCUGAGAGGGCGACCGGCCACACUGGGACUGAGACACGGCCCAGACUCCUACGGGAGCCAGCAGUGGGGAAUCUUGCGCAAUGGGCGAAAGCCUGACGCAGCGACGCCGCGUGAGGGAUGACGGCCU
Molecule: ribosomal RNA, 387 nt
Filed under: uncultured bacterium
Lineage: Bacteria
Description: bacterial SSU rRNA
Rfam family: Bacterial small subunit ribosomal RNA
Source: RNAcentral